RNAcentral lists this transfer RNA (75 nucleotides) under Neocallimastix californiae. It matches the Rfam family "tRNA". From Rfam's summary of the family: Transfer RNA (tRNA) molecules are approximately 80 nucleotides in length. Their secondary structure includes four short double-helical elements and three loops (D, anti-codon, and T loops). RNAcentral also lists the same sequence under 1 other name. The record is from Rfam by way of RNAcentral. Lineage: Eukaryota; Fungi; Neocallimastigomycota; Neocallimastigomycetes; Neocallimastigales; Neocallimastigaceae.
GCUCGCGUAGCCUAAUCGGAUAGGGCCGUCACACUUCUAAUCUGAAGAUUGCGGGUUCAAGUCCCGCCGUGAGUG